GGGGAUGUAGCUCAGUGGUACAGUGUAUGCUUUGAAAGCACAAGGCCCUGGAAUAAAUCCCCAGCACCA
RNAcentral lists this transfer RNA (69 nucleotides) under Ictidomys tridecemlineatus (thirteen-lined ground squirrel). RNAcentral describes it as "Spermophilus tridecemlineatus (thirteen-lined ground squirrel) tRNA". It matches the Rfam family "tRNA". From Rfam's summary of the family: Transfer RNA (tRNA) molecules are approximately 80 nucleotides in length. The record is from Rfam by way of RNAcentral. Lineage: Eukaryota; Metazoa; Chordata; Mammalia; Rodentia; Sciuridae.